GGAAAGAAGACCUGCUGAAUUUAAGCAUAUAAUUAAGCAGAGGAAAAGAAACCAACCGGGAUUCCCUCAGUAGCGGCGAGCGAAGCGGGAAGAGCUCAUCAUGAAAAUCUUUUUUUACAAAAAGAAUUGUAGUCUGUCGAUGCGCAUCCAGUUUUGUGAAAAGGUCAAAGUCCCAUGGAAGUGGGCACGAUACAGGGUGAAAGUCCCGUUCGUGGCUUUUUUUCAUACAAGACGUACGGAGUGUAUUCAAGGAGUCGUGUUGCUUGGGACUGCAGCGCCAAGUGGGUGGUAAAUUCCAUCUAAAGCUAAAUAUUGACGAGAGACCGAUAGUGGAAAAGUACUGUGAAGGAAAGAUGAAAAGAACUUUGAAAAGAGAGUGAAAAGUACCUGAAAUCGUUGAAAGGGAAGGGUUUGCGCCCAGUGUUGGUGUUUGUUGUUUUCAGCUGUCUUUUUCGGAAGU
Molecule: ribosomal RNA, 460 nt
Filed under: Symbiodinium sp. Mp
Lineage: Eukaryota; Dinophyceae; Suessiales; Symbiodiniaceae
Description: partial Eukaryotic large subunit ribosomal RNA
Rfam family: Eukaryotic large subunit ribosomal RNA
Source: RNAcentral